GCUGGGCGUCGUUCAGGUGCGCAGGCUGCGGCUACUUCUCCUCCAAAGAGAGCGACGCGGGUUCGAAUCCCGCCGCCGGCU
RNAcentral lists this transfer RNA (81 nucleotides) under Streptomyces sp. S.PB5. RNAcentral describes it as "tRNA-Trp". The record is from RNAcentral. Lineage: Bacteria; Bacillati; Actinomycetota; Actinomycetes; Kitasatosporales; Streptomycetaceae.